This 492-nucleotide ribosomal RNA is filed under the name uncultured bacterium. RNAcentral's name for it is "partial 16S ribosomal RNA". It matches the Rfam family "Bacterial small subunit ribosomal RNA", at positions 28 to 507 of the family's 1533-position model. The record is from RNAcentral.
GAUGAACGCUAGCUACAGGCUUAACACAUGCAAGUCGAGGGGAAACGGCAUCGAAAGCUUGCUUUUGAUGGGCGUCGACCGGCGCACGGGUGAGUAACGCGUAUCCAACCUGCCCAUCACUUGGGAAUAACCUUGCGAAAGUAAGACUAAUGCCCAAUGACAUCCCACGAAGGCAUCCGAAUGGGAUUAAAGAUUUAUCGGUGAUGGAUGGGGAUGCGUCUGAUUAGCUUGUUGGCGGGGUGACGGCCCACCAAGGCAACGAUCAGUAGGGGUUCUGAGAGGAAGGUCCCCAACAUUGGAACUGAGACACGGUCCAAACUCCUACGGGAGGCAGCAGUGAGGAAUAUUGGUCAAUGGGCGAGAGCCUGAACCAGCCAAGUAGCGUGCAGGAGGACGGCACUAUGGGUGGUAAACUGCUUUUAUAAGGGAAUAAAGUGGGUCACGUGUGACUUUUUGCAUGUACCUUAUGAAUAAGGACCGGCUAAUUCCGUG